AUACGUAGGUCCCGAGCGUUGUCCGGAUUUAUUGGGCGUAAAGCGAGCGCAGGCGGUUUAAUAAGUCUGAAGUUAAAGGCAGUGGCUUAACCAUUGUUCGCUUUGGAAACUGUUAGACUUGAGUGCAGAAGGGGAGAGUGGAAUUCCAUGUGUAGCGGUGAAAUGCGUAGAUAUAUGGAGGAACACCGGUGGCGAAAGCGGCUCUCUGGUCUGUAACUGACGCUGAGGCUCGAAAGCGUGGGGAGCAAACAGGAUUAGAUACCCUGGUAGUCCACGCCGUAAACGAUGAGUGCUAGGUGUUAGGCCCUUUCCGGGGCUUAGUGCCGCAGCUAACGCAUUAAGCACUCCGCCUGGGGAGUACGACCGCAAGGUUGAAACUCAAAUGAAUUGACGGGG
RNAcentral lists this ribosomal RNA (396 nucleotides) under uncultured bacterium. RNAcentral describes it as "partial 16S ribosomal RNA". It matches the Rfam family "Bacterial small subunit ribosomal RNA", at positions 523 to 918 of the family's 1533-position model. The record is from RNAcentral.